Molecule: ribosomal RNA, 482 nt
Filed under: uncultured bacterium
Lineage: Bacteria
Description: partial 16S ribosomal RNA
Rfam family: Bacterial small subunit ribosomal RNA
Source: RNAcentral
GACGAACGCUGGCGGCGUGCUUAACACAUGCAAGUCGAACGCUGAAGCUCAGCUUGCUGGGUGGAUGAGUGGCGAACGGGUGAGUAACACGUGAGUAACCUGCCCUCUUCUUUGGGAUAACGCCCGGAAACGGGUGCUAAUACUGGAUAUUCACUGAUUCUCGCAUGGGGGUUGGUGGAAAGGUUUUUUCUGGUGGGGGAUGGGCUCGCGGCCUAUCAGCUUGUUGGUGGGGUGAUGGCCUACCAAGGCUUUGACGGGUAGCCGGCCUGAGAGGGUGACCGGUCACAUUGGGACUGAGAUACGGCCCAGACUCCUACGGGAGGCCGCAGUGGGGAAUAUUGCACAAUGGGCGAAAGCCUGAUGCAGCGACGCCGCGUGAGGGAUGGAGGCCUUCGGGUUGUAAACCUCUUUCGCUCAUGGUCAAGCCGCAGCUUUGGGUUGUGGUGAGGGUAGUGGGUAAAGAAGCGCCGGCUAACUACGUG